Molecule: ribosomal RNA, 249 nt
Filed under: Triticum aestivum (bread wheat)
Lineage: Eukaryota; Viridiplantae; Streptophyta; Magnoliopsida; Poales; Poaceae
Description: partial small subunit ribosomal RNA
Source: RNAcentral
AUGGCUUCACCGACUUGUGCAUCGUCCGAGGUCUGUUUCCUUUUCCUAGGGUUUAACAAAAUUGCAUGGGUUAUUGGUCAAGAGGAGGCCCACAUGCAACAAGGAGCAAGGUGUACGAAAUUUUUUUGGAACCAAGAUACUCAUUUCGAAUUUAGUGUUUUAUUGCAUCAACAUAACAAUUUACUGUUUUAUUGCAGGGGUACUGGCUACUUCCCCUUUCUUCCUCUGCCAUCUUCCCAGCAGCCAUGA